RNAcentral lists this ribosomal RNA (497 nucleotides) under uncultured bacterium. Its description in RNAcentral is "partial 16S ribosomal RNA". It matches the Rfam family "Bacterial small subunit ribosomal RNA", at positions 28 to 507 of the family's 1533-position model. The record is from RNAcentral.
GAUGAACGCUGGCGGCGUGCCUAAUACAUGCAAGUCGAGCGAACGGACGAGAAGCUUGCUUCUCUGAUGUUAGCGGCGGAGGGGUGAGUAACACGUGGAUAACCUACCUAUAAGACUGGGAUAACUUCGGGAAACCGGAGCUAAUACCGGAUGAUAUUUUGAACCGCAUGGUGCAAAAGUGAAAGACGGUCUUGCUGUCACUUAUAGAUGGAUCCGCGCUGCAUUAGCUAGUUGGUACGGUAACGGCUUACCAAGGCAACGAUGCAUAGCCGACCUGAAAGGGUGAUCGCCCACCCGGGAUGUGAGACUCGGCCCCCACUCUUACGGGGGGCCGCAGUAGGGACUCUUCCGCAAGGGGCGAAAGCCUGACGGUGCAACGCCGCGUGAGUGAUGAAGGUCCUCGGCUCGUAGAGCUAUGUUAUCAGGGAAGAACAUAUGUGUAAGUAGCUGUGCACAUCUUGACGGUACCUGCUGAGAAAGCCACGGCUAACUACGUG